Long non-coding RNA from Passer domesticus (house sparrow), 8523 nucleotides. RefSeq lists it as uncharacterized. Lineage: Eukaryota; Metazoa; Chordata; Aves; Passeriformes; Passeridae. The transcript has 3 exons. The record is from RefSeq and is a predicted model, not a curated record.
CAGUUGCAUAAACACACACCGUCAAAGACCUGGAAGUCACACGCUGGCACAGCGCACAGGCAGCGCUCCUGCUCUUGUAAUUAAUGAACUCCUGGCAGGAGGCUGCUGGGAUCUCAGCAGCCCCCAAAGAGCACAUGCCAGACUGCUCAGGAGUGGCACUCACUGAGAUUAAAGACUUGGCUGCAGCGAAAAAGAAAGCGGAAGCAAACAGCAGCCUUCUGCCACACCCAGCAUCCAGCAUCUCAGUCUGACAUGCUCAGCACCAGACUGCAUGGGGUGAGCAGGAAAAUGUCCCACUGUGAUGCCUUGCCUUUGUGAAAGCUGCUGGAACACAGACAAGGGAAAGGAAUUCCAUGCAGGACCUUGAAUGAGGGACACUCAGGGCAGCCAAAGACAUCAGCAACUUCUGCCAGCCACCUCUGGAAGGCAGGAGCAUCACAAAAGGCUGGAUGUAGGCUCCUCCAUCAGCGAGCCCUCAGCCGCAGACAGGAUCAGUAACCACAACCCAAUCUGCUGCUCUUUCCGCAGCAGACAGUUGUCCUUUUCCACAUGGCCAGGUACGACACUUCUGGGACAAAUUUGGGGGUAUUCAUCACCAGCGGUGAGGGCGUGGGAGACAAGUUUCAUCCAAAUAAAGGACUACCAUGUGUUGGGGCUUCAGUAGAAAGGUCUUGUGUUUACUGUCCUGCACAUGCAGGGAGAGAUUUUCACUGUAUUUUCUCCUCCUGGAUGUUAAGAGUCAUUUGAAAUUAUGUGAAAUAAUGGGUAGCCAAAAUUUCAUCUCCCCCCACUGCCUUCUCACCUUUGAGUCUCCGCUUGUGGAGCUUCCUUGGCACAUCAUGAAUCUGCACAACAGGGAAGAGGACUUGGCCUGCCCCAGCUGCUUCAGGCUUGUUGGCUUACCUUGCGUGGAAAAUCCAGGAAGUGCCAAAUAUCAUCCACUGAGGCUGUUUCACCAGCCCCAAACAUCCAAAUGUCAAGAAAAAUACUCCCAAAUAUAAUAAGAGUGGGUUAAAGUCCCAAAAAUUACAGUGCUUUAGAUUGUCAGUGAAUGUACAAUUGUUUCCUUGCAACUCAUGUUCAAACACUCCUGCAUGCCAAAGAACACAAGUUUCCCAAAGGGAUUUUCCUUUCCUUAGGCUUGCCUAGGGAAGUGGGAUGGUGAAGGUGCUCCAAGACACCCCAUGGUCCACACCAGUGGGACAAGACAAAGUCCCAUGAUAGCUCUGGGCUAUCACCUACUGCAGCGUUUGCAAGGGUGAUCCCAGAUUCUUCACAAAGGUUCAAGUUAUCACUUUGUGAAAUUUUCCACCUCCUUCACAGACAGGGUUCUCUGGCUUUAGGCUGCUUUCCAUGAGGCUGGAUAGGAAAGCUUCACAGCAGCAGGACAUUUUAUUGUUGCCUUUUGUAUUUUGCCCAGACAGCAUUCCUCUGACUGUGUGCCCGCUGUCAAUGAGUGUAGAUUUCUCUUUGGUGCUUUCGGUGCUUUUAUCUUCCUGAAAAGCCAGCUCUUAAGAGUAUGACUGGCAGGUAGCUAAUAUUUAAUCCAGGACUCGGUGCCAAGGACUGAUCUCUACACAGAGAGAUCAGAUCUGGAUCUUGCCCUGCAGCAGAAGAGCCUUUGCCACGUGGCUCCCUUGAGCAAAGUGAGCAGCUGGGCGUAGGUCCUGACACCCAGCCUAAUCUCUCUGGCUGUCUUCCUGAAGCAAUGGGGAGCUUUUAACCUAGAUUUGGUGUUUUAUCCAAGAAGUAGGAAACUCAUAAGAGGUAUAGCCCAGAGAGCAUCUUGACUGUGGCCAGCUUUCUAGUUCCAGUAAAGUUACAGCCCCACUUUCCACAUUAGUCUUGUGUCUGUCUCAUGUCUUGACCUCUUACAAUGGGCAAAACUAGGCUGUAGUCAGUUUUAACACCUCCACCUCUCUAACAGCUAAGCUAGAAAAUGGUUGUUUUAAGCAACAUAAAUUUAGUUUCAGGCUGUAAAUUACGUAUUUUUCAUCAUAUAGGUUGCUUUACAACUGAGAGUUUUCAUGCAGGUCUGCACAAAAUAAUUAGUCUGUAAAGGUCUGGGCUUUUUAGGAGCGGGUAAAUUAGGAAACUAGGGAAGGGAAGUUUACCAUAAACAUCCUUUCCUUGCUGCUGAGGUCCCAGGCUCAGGUUUCCUACAGUAAAAUGUUAACUACGAUAACAAAACAAUAAACCUUAGAUUGAGCUAAGAAUUGUAUUUAGUGUGUAGAGAUCAUGCAUAAUAAUUAAAUGGUACUAUACCAAAAUUUUGUCUGAGGGACCCUUGUGCCAUUGCAUCCCAACCCUUGGUUUAAACUUCAGAACAAAGUGGACAAAAGAGCCAAACCAGAAAUUUUGUAUUAAGAAAGAGAGGAGAAGUUUUUCAGAGGGGCCAAGAAGCAGCUAGUUCAGCAGCAGGUGGCAGAGCCUUGCUGCAUGAGUGUUUCUUAUGAAAGAAGCAGGAUCAGGAAUGUGUUUCAGUGCCUUAGCUGGUCAUUUCACAGCAGAGGUUUUAAAAAAUCAUUCAACUACAUGAGACCAUCUAUUACCAAGGCUGCCACUGAAUUUGAUCAAAAUCCCCAGAAUUCUAUUGGGAAACCUUCUCAUUGUUACAGAAGCAGACAGGACCACAGUCUUAAACUUGCAAUUUUGCCAUUAGGAAAAUCUACUAAAGGAUUCAGGUGCCUGGCAUGGGGUCUGGUAGCCUCCAGUACUGCAAAAAUAUUUAACAAUUUAAUGCACUUUCCAACAUUAUGAAGUUGCAGUGAUUAGCAAAUACAUAAGUUUUGGCAGGACUUGAUUCUUCACCAAGUUCUGACCCUGCCACACAAAGUACACUCGACCCUGCUCCACAGUGAUGUAAGAUGCUAUGGAAAUGCAAAGUGCUGACCAGGAGGUGAGGGCUGCAAUGGCUGGGCUGUGAAUGGAGAGGACAUGUCCCAAGAGCAAUAAACCCCACUCUUGCCUGUCUUUCCUGCUCCCAGCAGCAGCAUCUGGCUUUAUGCUUUGGGAUUUUGCCUGUGAAAAAUUGAUCUGUGUUGAUGCAAAAAGAAAAUAAUUGAAAAUCUAGCUCAUAGUCAUAUGACACCGGUACCUACAAGACAGUAAAGCAUCAAAAAAAUCUCAAUUUCAGGUAGCCUUUUGACUUCAAAGCACUUUGCAAAUGGCUGGAUGAGAUGGAGCUAAGACUGUUAUCCUCUAUGGUAAGAUGCUGGACUAUACUCUAAUGACUUGGAAAUAUUUGGAUCAGGCUUAGCAGUGUAAAUAUGCCAAGCAAAGAGGUGAAACUCAGCACACAGAUACCUAGAGGUACCAGUAAGGGAAAGUUAACCCUGGGUGCAUCACAGGUAUCUCCUACAGAUGUGUUAAAUGUGGGAGUGAGGGGGCUGCAGGGGGCUUGGGGCAGACCCAGGGAAGGACUUUGCCCUUGCAAAGAAUGACCCAAUGCCCCUGUAAGGUCUCCAGCCUCAAAGGGUGGACUGUGCAUAGGGCACAAGAGGUGGCUGUCCAUGCUUGUCUGCAGAUUUUGUGAACUUUAGUUUGCCAGAGCCCUGAAAUGGAAUAUUUACCACGUGUCACUACUGCCUCUCAAACACAACACUCAGAAGCUUUUAUCCAAUUCUUAGUUUCCCCUGUGUUUGCAUAUCCUGCAUGUGAGUAGAAGGUGAUUAUAAAGGCAAAAGUGUUUACAUAAUGUUUCUCUUCCAAGGCCCAAAGUGAAUUCACUUGAAAGAUUCCAGUUAACUUCAACAAGCUUUGGACCAGUGUCUCAAGGAAAAGAUGCAAACUUUGAUUUGCAAUCUCCUGUACCAUACAAUUGAUUUAGUUUGGAAAACUAACUUGUAAUUUAGCACUUAAAACAUUUUAACCACUGUUUCUGAGGAAUUUUAAACCUAAGCAGUAUUAAAAAUCAUUACUCAUGGACACUUUCAUAGAGUCAAGUUUUUGCUUUUAAGUCAUGAUUUUACCAAACAUUGUCUUUCUUACUAGGUGGGACUUUAAAUUCAGAAAACUGAUAAUUUAUGUUUCCAUAUCUAGCAGAGGACUAGAAAGCUUUCACUGAUGUUCAUAAAGCCUAGCCUUAUGUUAGAUUUGAAGACUAUGGCAGCUUUGUUUAUACUAUAGUUUGGGAGAGGAUUGCCGGUCUUUUAAAAAUAUUUUCAGCCUUAAAAUGUUAAUCACUGGACUCAAAAAUAGAUUUAUGUCUUCCUAUUUCACUACAAUGACUUCUUUUUUUUUUUCCUCUGAGAAAACAUGCAAAGUAAAAUGACAAACCUACUUUUGGAAAAAAUUUUCUUAAAAAAAAAAAAAAGUAGUACAUUUUUGAGGAUAUAAAAAAAAGGCACUCAUUUAAACUUAUUAUAGUAUCAUUGUUACAGACACAGUGAAUGUUUUUUAACAAGAGCUUUCUCUUAAAUGAAAAUGAAACCCACAAUAUAAUAAUGAACUGGAAGAGGAUUACCUUCCAGAAUAUCCAACAGUUUUCAGCUGCACAGCUAUUGUCAGUGUGCUGCUGACUUAAGGAUUUGAACUAAAUCCUUUCAGAAGAUAACUAAUUUUUCAUUGUAUGUUGCAGAAAGUGCCUCCUUGAGAGAACUUUGCAGACUGUUUUCUAUAACUGGAGUAUCUGAACAAGAUUUCUAUUCUAAACCCUUCUUCUGAAGCCAUUUCUCUUCUUUCACCUUAUCUCUCUGAAGUGUGAGAAUGUUUUUUUUUCGUCUUUGCAUAUCUACCCAGCCUGGGUGCCUUACAUGAAAGUGAUUUUUCCGUGGGAUAGCUGAGGCUAGAAGUGACUGGUGGUGGCCCCCACAUCAAGCUUUGCUCAGUUUGGGGCUAACUCCAAAAGGAAUUCAAGUUGCUCAGGGCAUGUCCACCUGUGUCUUGAGCUUCUCCAAACAAUGCAUCUCCAAGGAUGAAGCUUUCUCUCUCCCAGGGCUGCGCCACUCACACAGUGGAUCAUUUCCCCCCUUACGUCCAGCAUCUGCCUUGCUGCAAAUCUCAGCUGCUGCUUUCUGACUUUUCCCUGAUCACUUUGGAGAUCCUGGCUGAAUCUAACCUAUAACCAGACUUCAGGGAGUGAAGGACAGCAACCAUUGUUCUUUGCCUGCUGUAUGUGUCAGCUCAGACAGGAUGUCACCACUUUGGUGGGUCAGUGAUGCCAGCUGCCCACACAGGUACUUCUCAGACACUCAGACACUCAAGACACUGUCUCAGACACUCAAGGAGACUGCUGGUUCUGGUAUGCACCAGAAGCUCCCACAGCUCAAAAUCCUGGGAAGCAUCUUCCUCUUCCUGACUCCAAGGGUAUUUGGGUGUAGAAAUGUUAGUCUCUGCCACCCUUGCUAUCUCACCUGCAGAUGUUUACAAAGUCUGGGCUAUUGACUCCUACACCUUAGUGCCUUUCUAAGUAUCCCUCAAGUGUGUUCAAAGAGGUACUAAAAAGAAUGGACAAUAUGGCAAAUUAUUUACCAAAUAACCUGAAGGUUUGAAGACUUUUUCCUAUUUUCAUCAAUAUUUUACAACAUUUGCCAUUUUCCCUUUGAAACAAAGCUGUCUAAUUUUCGAGCAAAUUUGGGAAUGAAAUGUUGAUCUAUUGCAGAAGGGAACCUUAUUUUGUCACAUAAGAGUAUGAAGAGGCAUCUGCAAUAGAUGAAGUCCCCAGACAUAGUGUGGUAAACCAGUAGACAGACUUUGUAAAAUGAGGAGUAAUUUAUGGUCUCUUAUUGGAGGAUCUUUAUGAAUAAUUCUAUCCUGGAAACAACUUAAACAGCACCAGCUACAUUUUUAGAAACAUUGGUAAAAAAAGUCAGGUCUUCUAAACUCUAAUGACAUUUUCAAAACAUCACAAAACACAAAUGCAGUCAUCAGAGUUAUCACCUUCAGAAAACAGAGGAAAUAAUUUCAAUUUACUUCACUUGUUUUCACUGUCAUUUAGGCUGAGCAACAUCCUCUGGAACUGAAUUUUCAAAUUUCUGCAGCAAAUACUCCAAUUCUGGAUGCAGUAAGGCAGAAAAGAUUAUGGUUUAGACUGGGGAAAUCCUUUUACUUCUAUAGUGAGAGACACAGAAACACAACACCAGGGUUGAUAUACAGGUGUGAACGGCUUCACUUCUCAAUGUCUCUACAGAUUUUCCUCAAUCACCUGAGAGCACUGGCUAAAUCAAAGCAGUAAAAGCUACAAUUAGGUUUUCUUUUUAAAUAUUCAAAAUUGAUGGAUAACUUUAAAAAGAAAAAAACCCCAUGGUAUAAGUCUUGGGAGUAUAGAGAAUAGAGACUUGGAAAAAUCAGGCAAAUUUUAGUUUUAAACCUAAAGCUUUUAAACCUAAAGUUUUAAAUCUUGGUUUUGGCUUCUCCAAACAUAACCUCAGUGACUGAUUUAAAUUCACAUUCUGAAUUCAUAACCAGUAAUUUAAUAUGGAAAUAUUUUCCUCUAGCUGAAGUAAAGCAUUCACUUACCUCUGAACUAAGUAAAGCACCAGGAUAUAUAAUUAGGGAAAUCAAGAAUUCUCUUCAGAUUUAAUUUUCACUUCCUCCAACAACCUAAGAAGUUUCCAUGUGCAAGUUGCCAUACUGUACAGUACAAGGCAAUAAACUCUAGCCCUAACCUUUCUGGGCAGGGUAGAUCAGUUAUCCUCAGGCAGGCAAGAAACCAAGAGCAACUUUAUUCUCAUGUCUGUAAAUUCUUUUUCCUGUGUACAAAACAGACAUUUUCUAACCCACAUUUCUAACAUUUUCUUUUUAAACUCUUCAGUGCAGCAACAAUAUUUUUGCAGCUUUGUGCUAGGGUUGCAGAUAGCAAUAAAAGAAUUGCAAUGAAGCCUUUGGGUAUUUAUCAUCCCAGAUUCAGAAAGCCUAUAUCAGAUGGGAAGAAUGAUACAGGUCCUUGCAGGAAGUGUCUCCAGUGUCAGCACCACCACUAAUACACCUUUAAAAUAAAAUGGAAGUGCUGAGCAUCCCUGACAACAGGCACUUUCUAGUGACCCUGUGAAGGGCUGCUUUUUUCUCUCCUCUGAUGGUCUGUAACCUAGCCACAAAGGGCUGGCAAUGACAUGCAUAUCCCCAGGCCACUGGGGAUGCCUUCAAGGACUGCACCUGUCAGCAGGAUUAUAACGAGAUUUGUGGACUGAUAAAAUACUGAAUUAGAAGUUCUUUUAAUGGCCCACUUGGAUGGAAAAAUAGUUGCAGGUGAGCUGACAGCAAAAGUUAGGUAUAGCUGAAUGUCUUUUCUUAAAAUCCAUUUCCUUCUGCAUUAAAAAGAGAUCAUUUGUUGCAAUAUUAUUGUUGCCCCAGAAGGAACCCUAGAUGAGACUGCAUCUGAAGGAAUAAUUGGACAAGAACUAAAAGAACUUAGUAUUUACCAAACGGCCUCCAACCUAAACCACGACAGAGACAAAGCCACUACAUUUCACAAGACCAGUCUGAAAGGAAAUUCUUGUGCGUCAUUUAAAAGGCCAUUUAUUUUUAUAAUAUACAACCCUCUAAAGAAAUAAGUGUUUCACCUUCAUCACUCUUAUUUAAUUUUUGUCAUAUUAAAAUAUUGCCUUCCUUCACGAAGGCUUAUGAUCAGUCUUAAGAAUUACAAGAGAGAAAAUCCAACAGGACAGUCCAAGGGGAUGGCUAAUUAGAGGGUAUCUUUGUUUGUACUGAAAAGACUCUGCUAAGAAAGUUAGAGAAUAAGAACUUUAAAUAUUGACCUUGCCAUCAGCUUCUAAAUGUAUUUUUUUUGGCAGGAGUAUUUUUAAAUUCCUCCCAAAUAACCUUUUGAUAAUAUUUAAACUUUAUUUUUACAUACUCUUUGAAAACAAGCCAGUUUCUUGAAUCUUUUUGUUCUGCAAAUUUAGCAAUCAUAUGAGAUCUCCUGCUUUAACAAAACCAAUAUUUUAACACUGAGAUAUCCAACAUUUCCUGCAAAUUAAUUAUCACAUAGUAAAACCUGAGAGAACAGCAAUUACAAUGUUUACAAAGUUACCUUAAAGGUUAAAAUAACUUUUCCCAAAGUUAUAGCUUGUUAUGCUCCAAUCUUUUUCUCUCAAAGCUCUAGAAGAGUAGAGAAAUGAGAGGGUGGGCUUGAAGAAAUACAAGAAUCCCAGACUGCAGUACAGGAAUUUUUUUUUUUCAUUUGACCUCAUUUUUUCUUGUAAGACCGUGCUUUGGUAAAGAUUUAACCUUUUACAGUUAGAAUUCCAGGAGAUUAUAAAGAGAAUUUAACAUAAGAAUGUUAAAUCUACAGGUAGUGAGCAAACAACACGGAAUUCAUUCUUAUACCUAUUUUUUAAAUAACAAUGCAUUUGUCAUUUUUAGAAAUUUUUUUGAGUUGGUGAAUGAAAGAGAGCAUGACUGUAGGAACUGAUGUACCUUUCCCUCAUUUUUUAAGACAUGAUGGAAGUUCAAGGGCAGUGUAAACUCAAGCAGGGCAGGAUGUGCUCAAUGUCAGCCUUCAAGAUUGUAAAUUUUGAAGUCAAUUAAAAACAAAAAAGAAAAAUAAAAUUUCUUUACAUAAGUUUUUCAAAAACAUGUGGG